CAGCAGCCGCGGGAAUACGUAGGUGGCAAGCGUUGUCCGGAAUUAUUGGGCGUAAAGGGCUCGCAGGCGGUUUCUUAAGUCUGAUGUGAAAACCCCCGGCUCAACCGGGGAGGGUCAUUGGAAACUGGGAAACUUGAGUGCAGAAGAGGAGAGUGGAAUUCCACGUGUAGCGGUGAAAUGCGUAGAGAUGUGGAGGAACACCAGUGGCGAAGGCGACUCUCUGGUCUGUAACUGACGCUGAGGAGCGAAAGCGUGGGGAGCGAACAGGAUUAGAUACCCCCGUAGUCCCUGUCUCUUAUAC
RNAcentral lists this ribosomal RNA (301 nucleotides) under uncultured bacterium. Its description in RNAcentral is "partial 16S ribosomal RNA". It matches the Rfam family "Bacterial small subunit ribosomal RNA", at positions 509 to 807 of the family's 1533-position model. The record is from RNAcentral.